GACGUAGGGCGCGAGCGUUGUCCGGAUUUAUUGGGCGUAAAGAGCUCGUAGGCGGCUUGUUGCGUCGGCUGUGAAAACCCAUGGCUCAACCGUGGGCUUGCAGCCGAUACGGGCAGGCUAGAGUUCGGUAGGGGAGACUGGAAUUCCUGGUGUAGCGGUGAAAUGCGCAGAUAUCAGGAGGAACACCAGUGGCGAAGGCGGCGAUCUGGGAAGAUACUGACGCUGAGGUGCGAAAGCGUGGGGAGCAAACAGG
RNAcentral lists this ribosomal RNA (253 nucleotides) under uncultured bacterium. RNAcentral describes it as "partial 16S ribosomal RNA". It matches the Rfam family "Bacterial small subunit ribosomal RNA", at positions 524 to 776 of the family's 1533-position model. The record is from RNAcentral.